RNAcentral lists this ribosomal RNA (771 nucleotides) under uncultured Tomentella. RNAcentral's name for it is "eukaryotic LSU rRNA". The stretch from base 190 to 344 matches the Rfam family "5.8S ribosomal RNA". The record is from RNAcentral. Lineage: Eukaryota; Fungi; Basidiomycota; Agaricomycetes; Thelephorales; Thelephoraceae.
AUGAAGUUGUUGCUGGCCCUCGGAUGGGGGCAUGUGCACGCUCUGUUUACACAUCCACUCACACCUGUGCACUCUCUGUAGUUCUAUGGUCUGGGGGCUCAGUCCUCCUGCUGUGGUUCUGCGUAUUUACACACACACACUGUAAUAAAGUCUCAUGGAAUGUAUGCCGCGUUUAACGCAAUGCAAUACAACUUUCAGCAACGGAUCUCUUGGCUCUCGCAUCGAUGAAGAACGCAGCGAAAUGCGAUAAGUAAUGUGAAUUGCAGAAUUCAGUGAAUCAUCGAAUCUUUGAACGCACCUUGCGCCCUUUGGCCAUUCCGAAGGGCAUGCCUGUUUGAGUAUCAUGAACACCUCAACUCCUCAUGGCUUGCCAUGAUGAGCUUGGACUUGGGGGUCUUGCUGGCCUGCAGUCAGCUCCUCUCAAAUGAAUCAGCUUGCCAGUGUUUGGUGGCACCACAGGUGUGAUAAACAUCUACUCUUGUGGUCCUCCGCCAUGUAACCUUCAGCGAUGGAGGUUCACUGGAGCUCACAGAUGUCUUUCCUCAGUGAAGACGGCUCUUUGAUUGUUUGAUCUCAAAUCAGGUAGGACUACCCGCUGAACUUAAGCAUAUCAAUAAGCGGAGGAAAAGAAACUAACAAGGAUUCCCCUAGUAACUGCGAGUGAAGCGGGAAGAGCUCAAAUUUAAAAUCUGACGUGCCUCUGGUCGUCCGAGUUGUAGUCUGGAGAAGCGUUUCCGUGUUGGACCGUGUAUAAGUCUCUUGGAACAGGGC